CAUCAUUUCUUCUAGAUACUUCUAAAAUCUCUUGAUCGAGAGUUGCUUCUAUGAUCAGCAAUCCUCAAAGAAGCAACACCUACAUUCCAAAGCUCGAGCCUUUUAGCAGGAGCAAGAGCGAUCGAGGAGUCAAAGAGCCUUCCUUCCUCCAAAAAUCCUAGAACGAGCUUGACGAUAUGAUUUCCUUUUCCAAAUUUCUUUUGUAAUGUUUGACAAUUUUUGAACUUGAAUCAACAAAAAUCUGCCAUUCGCACAGGUUCGAUCUUUCGAAAUCGAAGGAAUCUGAGGCUCCUAUCUUCAGGAAAAUUUUGUGGAAAGCAGUGGAAAAGUUCUACUAAGCAGAAUUCUCUAACUGCACAAUUUCCUCUUGCAAGAUCGGAAGGUACCAUAAAUCCUAAGUUUGCUGAAACAUUGGAGGCACAACUCCAUGCUCGUGAAAGAGUACAAGCAUCUCAAUCCCCUCCACUUUAUGAAAAAGCUAAGACAAUCACUUGUUUUGGGGGAAAGUGAAACAUAUGGUGGUUUUGAUGACCCCAUGGAUGGAAACGAGGAUCAUGAAUUUGAAAUGACCACCCUGAUUUUGAGCAAGCAGAGAAUAUCUACAUGGAUGCAGAAGUGCCUUUGCCCCAUGAAAAGCACAAUGACGAUAGUGCGAGUUUUGAUUGCAAUGGAGCCUUUGGACAGGAGGAUCCGAAUUCACAAGCAAGCCUGGAAGAUCUUUGUCGCUCACAUCUUGUAAAGACAUGUUUCCUAGGAUACUUUUUACAUUCAUUUUAUGUGCAUUACACUAUCUGUCAUUAUGUUCUGUUGUGGAAGCCAUUGAUUCGUGUUUCUACAUGAAAUUCAAGAUUGGAUGGUCAAAAUAACAUAAUAUUUUAUGGUGUAUUCAUCCUAGUCCCUAAUUACAUUUUUACUCUAGUAUCAUUUUGCUUGGUACCAAAUGAUCUCUAACCUAAUCAACUGGUUCAAGAUAUGGGUGGUGUGUGUUAGGGUGGGUGAGUGCACCACUGUGAAAAAUCUCUCUUUCGACAUGGUAGUAACAUCUCAAAUUGAAUAGAUGGAAUGAGAGAAGAAGAUGACUACAGACGGAUGGCAGCAAGUGCGCUCAAAACCCCCACACAAACAU
Molecule: RNA transcript, 1126 nt
Organism: Magnolia sinica
Lineage: Eukaryota; Viridiplantae; Streptophyta; Magnoliopsida; Magnoliales; Magnoliaceae
Exons: 4
Source: RefSeq, a predicted model, not a curated record